GACCUGGUGGCGAAAGGUAUCGCGCCCGCGUUCCUUAACAGGAAGGACAUCGGUUGCUCCGCGGGAAGUCCUGGUUCAAGUCCAGGUCAGGUCA
Non-coding RNA from Mycena crocata, 94 nucleotides. The record is from the annotation of a GenBank genome assembly. Lineage: Eukaryota; Fungi; Basidiomycota; Agaricomycetes; Agaricales; Mycenaceae.